Indicator indicator is the source of this 72-nucleotide non-coding RNA. Lineage: Eukaryota; Metazoa; Chordata; Aves; Piciformes; Indicatoridae. The record is from the annotation of a RefSeq genome assembly.
UCCCUGGUGGUCUAGUGGUUAGGAUGCCUGGUUUUCACCCAGGUGGCCCAGGUUUGAUUCCCAGUCAGGGAA